GCGUAUAUUAAAGUUGUUGCAGUUAAAACGCUCGUAGUCGGGUUUCGGGUCGGGCCGAGCGGUCUGCCGAUGGGUAUGCACUGUUUGGCGCGGCCUUCUUUCCGGAGACCGCGGCUACUCUUAACUGAGCGGGCGUGGGAGACGGAUCGUUUACUUUAUAAAAAUCAGAGUGUUUCAAGCAGGCAGCUCGCUCUUGCAUGGUACAGCAUGGGAUGAUUGAAUAGGACUCCGGUGCUAUUUUGUUGGUUUCGAACACCAGGAGUAAUGAUUAACAGGGACAGUCAGGGGCACUCGUAUUCCGUCGAGAGAGGUGAAAUUCUCAGACCAAUGGAAGACGAACCACUGCGAAAGCAUUUGCCAGGGAUGUUUUCACUGA
Molecule: ribosomal RNA, 376 nt
Filed under: uncultured Phaeocystis
Lineage: Eukaryota; Haptophyta; Phaeocystales; Phaeocystaceae
Description: SSU rRNA
Rfam family: Eukaryotic small subunit ribosomal RNA
Source: RNAcentral